Molecule: ribosomal RNA, 468 nt
Filed under: uncultured bacterium
Lineage: Bacteria
Description: partial 16S ribosomal RNA
Rfam family: Bacterial small subunit ribosomal RNA
Source: RNAcentral
GACGAACGCUGGCGGCGUGCUUAACACAUGCAAGUCGAACGGCAACGCCCUGCUUUUGUGGGGUGCUCGAGUGGCGAACGGGUGAGUAACACGUGAGUAACCUGCCCUUGACUUUGGGAUAACUUCAGGAAACUGGGGCUACUCCAAGAUAGGAGCUGCUGCUGCAUGGUGGGGGUUGGAAAGUUUCGGCGGUUGGGGAUGGAUUAGCGGCUUAUCAGCUUGUUGGUGGGGUAGUGGCUUACCCAGGCUUUGACGGGUAGGCGGCCUGAGAGGGUGACCGGCCACAAUAGGACUGAGAGACGGCCCAGACUCCUACGGGAGGCAGCAGUGGGGAAUAUUGCACAAUGGGCGGAAGCCUGAUGCAGCAACGCCGCGUGCGGGAUGACGGCCUUCGGGUUGGAAACCGCUUCCGCCUGUGACGAAGCGUGAGUGACGGUAAUGGGUAAAGAAGCACCGGCUAACUACGUG